Molecule: ribosomal RNA, 500 nt
Filed under: uncultured bacterium
Lineage: Bacteria
Description: SSU rRNA
Rfam family: Bacterial small subunit ribosomal RNA
Source: RNAcentral
AGAACGAACGCUGGCGGCGGGGCUUAGGCAUGCAAGUCGAGCGAGAAAGGGGUAACCCAAGUAAAGCGGCGUAAGGGUGAGUAAUGGGUAGCUAACGUACCCUCCAGACGCGAAUAAUUUCCCGAAAGGGAUUGUAAUGCGCGAUGAGACCACGGCUUCUUUGGGAGCAGGGGUCAAAGGCCAGGGAUCCUUCGGGACCUGACGGCUGGGGGGAGCGGGCGACGUCCGAGUUAGCUAGUUGGCGAGGUAAUGGCUCACCAAGGCGAUGAUCGGUAGCCGGGCUGAGAGGCUGUCCGGCCACACUGGCACUGAGACACUGGCCAGACUCCUACGGGAGGCUGCAGUCGCGAAUUUUUUCACAAUGGACGCAAGUCUGAUGAAGCCACGCCGUGUGCGGGAUGAAGGCUCUUUGAGUUGUAAACCGCUGUCAAGUGGGGGAAACGUAUGGUGUUAACAGCGCCAUGCUUGACUGCCCGCUAAGGAAGCCCGGCAAACAUGUG